RNAcentral lists this ribosomal RNA (1629 nucleotides) under Escherichia coli. RNAcentral describes it as "partial 23S ribosomal RNA". It matches the Rfam family "Bacterial large subunit ribosomal RNA", at positions 1291 to 2900 of the family's 2925-position model. The record is from RNAcentral. Lineage: Bacteria; Pseudomonadati; Pseudomonadota; Gammaproteobacteria; Enterobacterales; Enterobacteriaceae.
CGAAUGCUGACAUAAGUAACGAUAAAGCGGGUGAAAAGCCCGCUCGCCGGAAGACCAAGGGUUCCUGUCCAACGUUAAUCGGGGCAGGGUGAGUCGACCCCUAAGGCGAGGCCGAAAGGCGUAGUCGAUGGGAAACAGGUUAAUAUUCCUGUACUUGGUGUUACUGCGAAGGGGGGACGGAGAAGGCUAUGUUGGCCGGGCGACGGUUGUCCCGGUUUAAGCGUGUAGGCUGGUUUUCCAGGCAAAUCCGGAAAAUCAAGGCUGAGGCGUGAUGACGAGGCACUACGGUGCUGAAGCAACAAAUGCCCUGCUUCCAGGAAAAGCCUCUAAGCAUCAGGUAACAUCAAAUCGUACCCCAAACCGACACAGGUGGUCAGGUAGAGAAUACCAAGGCGCUUGAGAGAACUCGGGUGAAGGAACUAGGCAAAAUGGUGCCGUAACUUCGGGAGAAGGCACGCUGAUAUGUAGGUGAAGUCCCUCGCGGAUGGAGCUGAAAUCAGUCGAAGAUACCAGCUGGCUGCAACUGUUUAUUAAAAACACAGCACUGUGCAAACACGAAAGUGGACGUAUACGGUGUGACGCCUGCCCGGUGCCGGAAGGUUAAUUGAUGGGGUUAGCGCAAGCGAAGCUCUUGAUCGAAGCCCCGGUAAACGGCGGCCGUAACUAUAACGGUCCUAAGGUAGCGAAAUUCCUUGUCGGGUAAGUUCCGACCUGCACGAAUGGCGUAAUGAUGGCCAGGCUGUCUCCACCCGAGACUCAGUGAAAUUGAACUCGCUGUGAAGAUGCAGUGUACCCGCGGCAAGACGGAAAGACCCCGUGAACCUUUACUAUAGCUUGACACUGAACAUUGAGCCUUGAUGUGUAGGAUAGGUGGGAGGCUUUGAAGUGUGGACGCCAGUCUGCAUGGAGCCGACCUUGAAAUACCACCCUUUAAUGUUUGAUGUUCUAACGUUGACCCGUAAUCCGGGUUGCGGACAGUGUCUGGUGGGUAGUUUGACUGGGGCGGUCUCCUCCUAAAGAGUAACGGAGGAGCACGAAGGUUGGCUAAUCCUGGUCGGACAUCAGGAGGUUAGUGCAAUGGCAUAAGCCAGCUUGACUGCGAGCGUGACGGCGCGAGCAGGUGCGAAAGCAGGUCAUAGUGAUCCGGUGGUUCUGAAUGGAAGGGCCAUCGCUCAACGGAUAAAAGGUACUCCGGGGAUAACAGGCUGAUACCGCCCAAGAGUUCAUAUCGACGGCGGUGUUUGGCACCUCGAUGUCGGCUCAUCACAUCCUGGGGCUGAAGUAGGUCCCAAGGGUAUGGCUGUUCGCCAUUUAAAGUGGUACGCGAGCUGGGUUUAGAACGUCGUGAGACAGUUCGGUCCCUAUCUGCCGUGGGCGCUGGAGAACUGAGGGGGGCUGCUCCUAGUACGAGAGGACCGGAGUGGACGCAUCACUGGUGUUCGGGUUGUCAUGCCAAUGGCACUGCCCGGUAGCUAAAUGCGGAAGAGAUAAGUGCUGAAAGCAUCUAAGCACGAAACUUGCCCCGAGAUGAGUUCUCCCUGACUCCUUGAGAGUCCUGAAGGAACGUUGAAGACGACGACGUUGAUAGGCCGGGUGUGUAAGCGCAGCGAUGCGUUGAGCUAACCGGUA